CCUACGGGAGGCAGCAGUGGGGAAUAUUGGGCAAUGGGCGCAAGCCUGACCCAGCAACGCCGCGUGAAGGAAGAAGGCUUUCGGGUUGUAAACUUCUUUUGUCAGGGACGAAGCAAGUGACGGUACCUGACGAAUAAGCCACGGCUAACUACGUGCCAGCAGCCGCGGUAAUACGUAGGUGGCAAGCGUUAUCCGGAUUUACUGGGUGUAAAGGGCGGGUAGGCGGGGAAGCAAGUCAGAUGGGAAAACCCCGGGCUCAACCUGUGGCCUGCAUUUGAAACUGUUUUUCUUGAGUGCUGGAGAGGCAAUCGGAAUUCCGUGUGUAGCGGUGAAAUGCGUAGAUAUACGGAGGAACACCAGUGGCGAAGGCGGCUUGCUGGACCGUACCUGACGCUGAGGCGCGAAAGCGUGGGGAGCAAACAGGAUUAGAUACCCUUGUAGUC
RNAcentral lists this ribosomal RNA (443 nucleotides) under uncultured bacterium. RNAcentral describes it as "partial 16S ribosomal RNA". It matches the Rfam family "Bacterial small subunit ribosomal RNA", at positions 338 to 795 of the family's 1533-position model. The record is from RNAcentral.